RNAcentral lists this transfer RNA (73 nucleotides) under Callorhinchus milii (elephant shark). RNAcentral's name for it is "tRNA-Met (CAT) (tRNA-Met-CAT-15-1)". It matches the Rfam family "tRNA". Rfam says of the family: Transfer RNA (tRNA) molecules are approximately 80 nucleotides in length. Their secondary structure includes four short double-helical elements and three loops (D, anti-codon, and T loops). Further hydrogen bonds mediate the characteristic L-shaped molecular structure. tRNAs have two regions of fundamental functional importance: the anti-codon, which is responsible for specific mRNA codon recognition, and the 3' end, to which the tRNAs corresponding amino acid is attached (by aminoacyl-tRNA synthetases). tRNAs cope with the degeneracy of the genetic code in two manners: having more than one tRNA (with a specific anti-codon) for a particular amino acid; and 'wobble' base-pairing, i.e. permitting non-standard base-pairing at the 3rd anti-codon position. The record is from RNAcentral. Lineage: Eukaryota; Metazoa; Chordata; Chondrichthyes; Chimaeriformes; Callorhinchidae.
AGUCCUGUAGCUCAGUGGUUAGAGCACUCGCUUCAUUAGCGAGAGGACCUGGGUUCGAUUCCCGGCAGGGCGA